AGGACCGUCAACAGAGCUUCUUACCACGACAAUUUGGACAAGUAAACAAGUACAUGCGACACUGCGUUCUGCCUUUCAUUCUUGGACAUUUCUGGACAUUUGUUAACUUGGAAUAUUCACUGGAAAGAACAUUUGCCUGAUUGAUCAACUCUGUUUCCCCAUCCUCGAGCCGUCACCUUAUCGUGGUGGAGGGGUUUGUGUGUCUCGAUGAUCCGAGGAGCUGCAUAUUCUGGGUCUUCGUGCCCCUCGUAGGGUCACCCAUACUAAAAGGUCAUAUUGGAUCUUGGUUUCCCUUGCCCGGACAUGGGUCAUCGGGGCCCCCCUCUGGAGCCAGGCCUGGAGGUGGGGCUCGAAGGCGAACGGCUGGUGGCCGGGUCUGCAUCCAUGGGGCUCGGCUGGGCACAGCCCGAAAGGAUAACAUGGGUCCCCCUUCCCAUUGGCUCACCACCUGUGUGAGGGGCCAUAGGGCUCGGGUGCAAUGUGAGCUGGGCGGUGGCCAAAGGCAAGACCUUGGCGAUCCAAUCCCUGUCUACAGAAACUAGUUCUAGGGACAUGGAAUGUCACCUCUCUGGCUGGGAAGGAUCCCAAGUUGGUGCGUGAGGUUGAGAAGUUCCGACUAGAUAUUGUCCAACUCGCCUCUACGCACACGUGGCUCUGGUUCCACUCCUCUUGAGAGGGGUUGGAUUCUGUAACACUCUGGAGUUGCCACAGGGCGAAACACCGAGCAGGUGUGGGUAUACUUAUUGCCCCCCGGCUCAGGGCCUGUAUGUCGGGGUUUACCCCAGUAGAUGAGAGGGUAGCCUCUCACCGCCUGCAGGUAGGGGGACAAGUCAUGACUGUUGUAUGCGCUUAUGCACCAAACAGCAGUGCAGAGUACCCACCCUUUUUGGAGUCCUUAGUAGUGCUGUAGAGAGCCCCCUCUGGCAACUCCAUCAUUCUACUGUGAGACUUCAAUGCACACAUAGGCAAUGACAGUGAGACCUGGAAGGGAGUGAUUGGGAUGAGUGACUAUGUCUCUUGGCUGGCUUGGGAAUGCCUCGGGAUCCCUCCGGAAGCAGUGGAAGAAGUGGCUGGGGAAAGGGAAGUCUGGGUAUCCCUCCCGAAGAUACGUCCCCGCGACCCAACCCGGAGAAGCGGUAGAAGAUGAAUGGAUGGAUGGAUGUUUACAGUUUUACUUGUUUUAAUUGCUGAAUUUAACAGCUUUUAUUGUUUAAUAAAGGAGCUACAGAACGCUCAUAUCCCAGCUCUUUAAGAGAGUUUGGUUAGCUGUUAAUUCUGUGUUCUACACUGAGCACAUUAGCACAUAGAAAGAACAGUCCAAUACCUGUUCUGUCAUAACCAGGACUUGCCGACGGACCCAAAUGCACGACUCGGGUGAUAGGCAAGUAGUAAGGAGGAAGUCUUUAUUCGUUCCAGAGUCGGUAACCGGGGAGUCAGUCAGCACAAACGGCAGAAACAGUAGUGACAGGCUUACAGGGUAGGUCGGGAGACAGGGUUGGUCGGUACACAGAGGGUUGGCGUCAGCAAUGCGAAAGUGCGGGAACGAGGCAUGCGAGGUGACGAUCUGACGAAGACCAGUCGUCCCCUGGGUCCUAUAGGUGCAGGGGUUAAUCAGCGGGGAUGAGGCGCAGGUGUGCGCCUCCUAAUUAGCGCCGAUCUGCUGGGACCCGCCCAGCCAGGGCUGGAACGGCAGGACCAUGACAUGUUCAAGCUCCUGCAAUAGACCUCUUGUCCACUGUGAGCAUCAGAGCCCCCAGCCACCCAAGGAAACCCAGUUAUGGCUGUCCUCACCAUCGGGAUGAGCGUGAAGUUAGGCUACAGCUACACAAUAUGGAAAACGCACAUCACGGUAUACUCCAAAGUGACAUUCUUAAAUUGCAGUACAUCCUAGUUGAAAUUAAUUAGUGAAUUUAAUAUGAAUUUGUCACCAUUUUCUGACUAAUAUAUGAUCUUGUCAUAAUGAGCCAUUUAACCAGCAAAUCACAAAUUGGAUAUUUACAUUAAUAAAAUCAUGACCUUCAUAAAUAUGAAUAUCAAUAAUUAUGCCCACUUGCAUUUAUUGUAUGUACUUCAUUGUCCGUUUCACCAGCUUGUAACCAAGCUCUUCACCUGUCGGCAGGGGAGGAGUACCAUACCCCUCACUUUCAAGUGAGCUCCCCGACUUCACUUGGUUGUAAGAGGAAUCCACUUCUUCUUCUUAGGCCUUUGCCUGGAAAUGGAAUACUUCUUUGUUCUCAUGCAUGCACAAAGCCAUGGGGUAAAAUGAAUGGGAAGGGGCUAAGGGGUAGAAUUGGGAUUGGCCUCAAGAUUUUUUGGAGUCAAGUCUGGUACAGGACCACAAGGCAUUCAAAAUUUGCUCUCAAGACCAAGACCAAGACCCAUCUCAAGUAAUAUAACACUCGUCACUCGUUUCUCAAGGCACCAAUGUAUCCACUUCACCUGAAGUGUGUUAUGUUAAAAUUUGAUUGUGAUUAUAAUGUUUAAGGAGUAAAGAACAGACACAGGAGAUUGUGACACUGGCAGAGUUAACAGUGCUGUCUGUGCCCGAGUAGACUUUUCAGUUUAGCAAACUUCCUCCCAGGGUCCUUGUCAGACAACGGGUAACGACACUGGACUAGUGGAAAAGUUUGUCAUUUUUUUCUAGCUCACUGUGGCACUUAGAAUGUGUGUUCUUAACGAGUUUGAAAAAAUUGCAUGCGUCCCGCUUUUGAAAACAGUUUCGUCAUUAAUGUCUUCGGUAACGUCCUUGAUAUCUCUACAUCUGGACAAAUAAAAAAAAAGUGUGUGUGA
Molecule: long non-coding RNA, 2790 nt
Organism: Syngnathoides biaculeatus (alligator pipefish)
Lineage: Eukaryota; Metazoa; Chordata; Actinopteri; Syngnathiformes; Syngnathidae
Exons: 2
Source: RefSeq, a predicted model, not a curated record